Long non-coding RNA from Lathyrus oleraceus (garden pea), 483 nucleotides. RefSeq lists it as uncharacterized. Lineage: Eukaryota; Viridiplantae; Streptophyta; Magnoliopsida; Fabales; Fabaceae. The record is from RefSeq and is a predicted model, not a curated record. The transcript is spliced from 3 exons.
UGCAGAUCUCACAUAUGAAUCUAUUUGUUGCCAUAAGUGUCUUCGGCGAUAGAGCUAUAACUUCAGCUUCCGGGUCUGGAUUGCUAGGAAGGUUUCUCCUUUUCUUAGGUGGAGUCUCACCAUGAGUUUGAGUUUGAGUGAAAAUAAAGGGGUGGACAUGGCAUGGUGAUGAAUUGGAAUGCUAUGGAUUAUGCUCAUGGAGGAUUGCAAUUGCUGCAAUGUGUUUUGCUCUUCAUAACCAAAGAUUAUUUUUGAAGUAUACAUCAAAAUGCAAUCGACAUAUAAUGUCUUCAUUGAACCAUCUAUUUCAAAAGUUUUAAGAAUGCGACGAGCCAACAGGAGACCGGUGCAAUAGGCUGCAACAUAAUUGGUUGGUGGCUCGAGUUGUAAAACAUGGACAUGGCGGAGAGCGUAUUCAAAUCUGAAGCAAACUCUUAUCUUGAAGUAAAGAGCUCAAUUUAGAACACUACAUGUUGCUGACUA